UGCCCCUUCUUGGUCAUUUAGAGGAAGUAAAAGUCGUAACAAGGUUUCCUAGGUGAACCUGCGGAAGGAUCAUUAAAGAACGCCCCGUUUUUUGAAAUGGUAACUUCUAAACCGUGUUUACAUACCUUUGUUGCUUUGGCAGGCCGCUCUCGAGGCGUCGGCUCCGGCUGACUGCGCCUGCCAGAGGACCCCAACUUUUUGUUUAGUAAUGUCUGAGUACUAUAUAAUAGUUAAAACUUUCAACACGGAUCUCUUGGUUCUGGCAUCGAUGAAGAACGCAGCGAAAUGCGAUAAUAAUGUGAAUUGCAGAAUUCAGUGAAUCAUCGAAUCUUUGAACGCACAUGCGCCCCUUGGUAUUCCGAGGGGCAUGCCUGUUCGAGCGUCAUUAUAACACUCAAGCCUCGGCUUGGUAUUGGGGUUCGCGGUCUCGCGGCUCUUAAAUCAGUGGCGGUGCCGUCUGGCUCUAAGCGUAGUAAUUUCUCUCGCUAUAGGUCCAGGUGGUUACUUGCCAAAACCCCCCAUAUUUUUUAAGGUUGACCCGGAUCAGGUAGGGAUACCCGCUGAACUUAAGCAUAUCAAUAAGCGGAGA
This 589-nucleotide ribosomal RNA is filed under the name uncultured fungus. RNAcentral describes it as "eukaryotic LSU rRNA". The stretch from base 235 to 385 matches the Rfam family "5.8S ribosomal RNA". Lineage: Eukaryota; Fungi. The record is from RNAcentral.